This 892-nucleotide ribosomal RNA is filed under the name uncultured bacterium. RNAcentral's name for it is "bacterial SSU rRNA". It matches the Rfam family "Bacterial small subunit ribosomal RNA", at positions 505 to 1398 of the family's 1533-position model. The record is from RNAcentral.
GUGGCAGCAGCCGCGGUAAUACGAAGGGACCUAGCGUAGUUCGGAAUUACUGGGCUUAAAGAGUUCGUAGGUGGUUAAAAAAGUUGGUGGUGAAAUCCCAGAGCUUAACUCUGGAACUGCCAUCAAAACNUUUUAGCUAGAGUAUGAUAGANGAAAGCAGAAUUUCUAGUGUAGAGGUGAAAUUCGUAGAUAUUAGAAAGAAUACCGAUUGCGAAGGCAGCUUUCUGGAUCAUUACUGACACUGAGGAACGAAAGCAUGGGUAGCGAAGAGGAUUAGAUACCCUCGUAGUCCAUGCCGUAAACGAUGUGUGUUAGACGUUGGAAAUUUAUUUUCAGUGUCGCAGCGAAAGCAAUAAACACACCGCCUGGGGAGUACGACCGCAAGGUUAAAACUCAAAUGAAUUGACGGGGACCCGCACAAGUAGUGGAGCAUGUGGUUUAAUUCGAAGAUACGCGCAGAACCUUACCAACACUUGACAUGUUCGUCGCGACUUUAAGAGAUUAAAGUUUUCGGUUCGGCCGGACGAAACACAGGUGCUGCAUGGCUGCCGUCAGCUCGUGUCGUGAGAUGUUGGGUUAAGUCCCGCAACGAGCGCAACCCUCACUUUUAGUUGCCAUCAUUUAGUUGGGCACUCUGAAAGAACUGCCAGUGAUAAGCUGGAGGAAGGUGGGGAUGACGUCAAGUCCUCAUGGCCCUUAUGUGUUGGGCUACACACGUGCUACAAUGGUAUCUACAACAGGAAGCAAGAUGGCAACAUUUAGCAAAUCCUAAAAAGAUAUCUCAGUUCGGAUUGCACUCUGCAACUCGAGUGCAUGAAGCUGGAAUUACUAGUAAUCGUGGAUCAGCGUGCCACGGUGAAUACGUUCCCGGGUCUUGCACACACUGCCCGUC